RNAcentral lists this ribosomal RNA (435 nucleotides) under uncultured Nitrobacter sp. RNAcentral's name for it is "bacterial SSU rRNA". It matches the Rfam family "Bacterial small subunit ribosomal RNA", at positions 29 to 507 of the family's 1533-position model. The record is from RNAcentral. Lineage: Bacteria; Pseudomonadati; Pseudomonadota; Alphaproteobacteria; Hyphomicrobiales; Nitrobacteraceae.
AGCGAACGCUGGCGGCAGGCUUAACACAUGCAAGUCGAGCGGGCGUAGCAAUACGUCAGCGGCAGACGGGUGAGUAACGCGUGGGAACAUACCUUUUGGUUCGGAACAACCCAGGGAAACUUGGGCUAAUACCGGAUAAGCCCUUACGGGGAAAGAUUUAUCGCCGAAAGAUUGGCCCGCGUCUGAUUAGCUAGUUGGUGAGGUAACGGCUCACCAAGGCGACGAUCAGUAGCUGGUCUGAGAGGAUGAUCAGCCACAUUGGGACUGAGACACGGCCCAAACGCCUACGGGAGGCAGCAGUGGGGAAUAUUGGACAAUGGGCGCAAGCCUGAUCCAGCCAUGCCGCGUGAGUGAUGAAGGCCCUAGGGUUGUAAAGCUCUUUUGUGCGGGAAGAUAAUGACGGUACCGCAAGAAUAAGCCCCGGCUAACUUCGUG